GGUUAAGCGACUAAGCGUACACGGUGGAUGCCCUGGCAGUCAGAGGCGAUGAAGGACGUGCUAAUCUGCGAAAAGCGUCGGUAAGGUGAUAUGAACCGUUAUAACCGGCGAUGUCCGAAUGGGGAAACCCAGUGCAAUUCGUUGCACUAUCGUUAACUGAAUACAUAGGUUAACGAGGCGAACCGGGGGAACUGAAACAUCUAAGUACCCCGAGGAAAAGAAAUCAACCGAGAUUCCCCCAGUAGCGGCGAGCGAACGGGGAGCAGCCCAGAGUCUGAAUCAGCUUGUGUGUUAGUGGAACGGUCUGGAAAGUCCGACGGUACAGGGUGAUAGUCCCGUACACCAAAAUGCACAGGUUGUGAACUCGAAGAGUAGGGCGGGACACGUGGUAUCCUGUCUGAAUAUGGGGGGACCAUCCUCCAAGGCUAAAUACUCCUGACUGACCGAUAGUGAACCAGUACCGUGAGGGAAAGGCGAAAAGAACCCCGGCGAGGGGAGUGAAAAAGAACCUGAAACCGUGUACGUACAAGCAGUGGGAGCACCUUCGGGUGUGACUGCGUACCUUUUGUAUAAUGGGUCAGCGACUUAUAUUCUGUAGCAAGGUUAACCGUAUAGGGGAGCCGCAGGGAAACCGAGUCUUAACUGGGCGUUAAGUUGCAGGGUAUAGACCCGAAACCCGGUGAUCUAGCCAUGGGCAGGUUGAAGGUUGGGUAACACUAACUGGAGGACCGAACCGACUAAUGUUGAAAAAUUAGCGGAUGACUUGUGGCUGGGGGUGAAAGGCCAAUCAAACCGGGAGAUAGCUGGUUCUCCCCGAAAGCUAUUUAGGUAGCGCCUCGUGAAUUCAUCUUCGGGGGUAGAGCACUGUUUCGGCUAGGGGGUCAUCCCGACUUACCAACCCGAUGCAAACUACGAAUACCGAAGAAUGUUAUCACGGGAGACACACGGCGGGUGCUAACGUCCGUCGUGAAGAGGGAAACAACCCAGACCGCCAGCUAAGGUCCCAAAGUCAUGGUUAAGUGGGAAACGAUGUGGGAAGGCACAGACAGCCAGGAUGUUGGCUUAGAAGCAGCCAUCAUUUAAAGAAAGCGUAAUAGCUCACUGGUCGAGUCGGCCUGCGCGGAAGAUGUAACGGGGCUAAACCAUGCACCGAAGCUGCGGCAGCGACACUAUGUGUUGUUGGGUAGGGGAGCGUUCUGUAAGCCUGCGAAGGUGACCUGUGAGGGUUGCUGGAGGUAUCAGAAGUGCGAAUGCUGACAUAAGUAACGAUAAAGCGGGUGAAAAGCCCGCUCGCCGGAAGACCAAGGGUUCCUGUCCAACGUUAAUCGGGGCAGGGUGAGUCGACCCCUAAGGCGAGGCCGAAAGGCGUAGUCGAUGGGAAACAGGUUAAUAUUCCUGUACUUGGUGUUACUGCGAAGGGGGGACGGAGAAGGCUAUGUUAGCCGGGCGACGGUUGUCCCGGUUUAAGCAUGUAGGCUGGUUAUCCAGGCAAAUCCGGAUAAUCAAGGCUGAGGUGUGAUGACGAGGCACUACGGUGCUGAAGUAACAAAUGCCCUGCUUCCAGGAAAAGCCUCUAAGCAUCAGGUAACAUUAAAUCGUACCCCAAACCGACACAGGUGGUCAGGUAGAGAAUACCAAGGCGCUUGAGAGAACUCGGGUGAAGGAACUAGGCAAAAUGGUGCCGUAACUUCGGGAGAAGGCACGCUGGUGUGUAGGUGAAGCCCCUGCGGGUGGAGCUGAGACCAGUCGAAGAUACCAGCUGGCUGCAACUGUUUAUUAAAAACACAGCACUGUGCAAACACGAAAGUGGACGUAUACGGUGUGACGCCUGCCCGGUGCCGGAAGGUUAAUUGAUGGGGUUAUCCGUAAGGAGAAGCUCUUGAUCGAAGCCCCGGUAAACGGCGGCCGUAACUAUAACGGUCCUAAGGUAGCGAAAUUCCUUGUCGGGUAAGUUCCGACCUGCACGAAUGGCGUAAUGAUGGCCAGGCUGUCUCCACCCGAGACUCAGUGAAAUUGAACUCGCUGUGAAGAUGCAGUGUACCCGCGGCAAGACGGAAAGACCCCGUGAACCUUUACUAUAGCUUGACACUGAACAUUGAGCCUUGAUGUGUAGGAUAGGUGGGAGGCUUUGAAGCGUGGACGCCAGUCUGCGUGGAGCCAACCUUGAAAUACCACCCUUUAAUGUUUGAUGUUCUAACGUUGGCCCCUUACCGGGGUUGCGGACAGUGUCUGGUGGGUAGUUUGACUGGGGCGGUCUCCUCCCAAAGCGUAACGGAGGAGCACGAAGGUUAGCUAAUCCUGGUCGGACAUCAGGAGGUUAGUGCAAUGGCAUAAGCUAGCUUGACUGCGAGCGUGACGGCGCGAGCAGGUGCGAAAGCAGGUCAUAGUGAUCCGGUGGUUCUGAAUGGAAGGGCCAUCGCUCAACGGAUAAAAGGUACUCCGGGGAUAACAGGCUGAUACCGCCCAAGAGUUCAUAUCGACGGCGGUGUUUGGCACCUCGAUGUCGGCUCAUCACAUCCUGGGGCUGAAGUAGGUCCCAAGGGUAUGGCUGUUCGCCAUUUAAAGUGGUACGCGAGCUGGGUUUAGAACGUCGUGAGACAGUUCGGUCCCUAUCUGCCGUGGGCGCUGGAGAAUUGAGGGGGGCUGCUCCUAGUACGAGAGGACCGGAGUGGACGCAUCACUGGUGUUCGGGUUGUCAUGCCAAUGGCACUGCCCGGUAGCUAAAUGCGGAAGAGAUAAGUGCUGAAAGCAUCUAAGCACGAAACUUGCCCCGAGAUGAGUUCUCCCUGAGACUUUAAGUCUCCUGAAGGAACGUUAAAGACGAUGACGUUGAUAGGCCGGGUGUGUAAGCGCAGCGAUGCGUUGAGCUAACCGGUACUAAUGAACCGUGAGGCUUAACCUU
This 2902-nucleotide ribosomal RNA is filed under the name Klebsiella pneumoniae. RNAcentral's name for it is "23S ribosomal RNA". It matches the Rfam family "Bacterial large subunit ribosomal RNA". Lineage: Bacteria; Pseudomonadati; Pseudomonadota; Gammaproteobacteria; Enterobacterales; Enterobacteriaceae. The record is from RNAcentral.